GACGAACGUUGGCGGCGUGCUUAAUACAUGCAAGUCAACUGAAGCAGUGGUAGCAAUAUCGCUGUGGAGGUGGCGCACGGGUGAGUAACACGUAGGUAAUCUGCCUUCAGGUCUGGCAUAACUCCGGGAAACCGGGGCUAAUAGCAGAUGAUGCAGCGGCUCGACAUCGAGACAGUUGUUAAAGCUACGGCGCCUGAAGAUGAGCCUGCGUCUGAUUAGCUAGUUGGCGGGGUAACGGCCCACCAAGGCAACGAUCAGUAGCUGGUCUGAGAGGAUGAUCAGCCACACUGGAACUGAGACACGGUCCAGACUCCUACGGGAGGCAGCAGUAAGGAAUAUUGCUCAAUGGGAGAAAUCCUGAAGCAGCAACGCCGCGUGAGGGACGAAGGGCUUUUGCUUGUAAACCUCUGUAGUGGGAGAAAAAAAUCCCAAUCUUUGGGACAUGAUGGUAUCUCAAAAGUAAGCCCCGGCUAACUACGUG
RNAcentral lists this ribosomal RNA (481 nucleotides) under uncultured bacterium. Its description in RNAcentral is "partial 16S ribosomal RNA". It matches the Rfam family "Bacterial small subunit ribosomal RNA", at positions 28 to 507 of the family's 1533-position model. The record is from RNAcentral.